UAGCAGACUUCAGAAUGUAGUGCCUACAGGAGCCACAAACAUGCAUGAGGGAUUUAAGAAGGCAAAUGAGCAGAUUCAGCAAGCAAACUCUGGAGGAGACAAGGUUCCCACCGUGAUUAUCGCUCUGACCGAUGGAGCACUGCUGCCA
Diceros bicornis minor is the source of this 148-nucleotide long non-coding RNA. RefSeq lists it as uncharacterized. The transcript is spliced from 3 exons. The record is from RefSeq and is a predicted model, not a curated record. NCBI's taxonomy places the organism in Eukaryota, Metazoa, Chordata, Mammalia, Perissodactyla, Rhinocerotidae.